AAUUAUUAGAAAAUGCUUGGUAAUUCCCCUGAGGGCCCGUUUGGUUCGAGUUAUGUAAUAUUACAAAGUAUCUCGACAUAUCUAGGUAUAUUGGAUUUCGGCGUGAGAUUACUACUGAUGCUGCAUUAGAGCGUUUGAUUUAAUACAGUAAUGUAAUACUAGAUUACAGUGUUUAUAGUUUUAAUAUGUUUGGUUCAGUUUAUAAAAUUUAGUAAUCCUGACAUAAAAGUAUAGUUUUUUUCAAAAUUGCCCUUGUUGGGGUCAUUUGAAUAUUAUUUUUUACGGAAAUGACGAAUGGAGGGAAGGAGAUCGUGAUGAUUACUUAGGAGGACGACGCAAUAGAAGAUGAUAGGUGUUCGUGCGAGAGAGAGAGAGAGAGAGAGAGCGAGAGAAAGCGGUGUGCGAGAGAGAGGGCCGGGGGGAAGGCGAGAUAGAGAUGAAAAUAAUGCUGUUAAUUAGAUUUGGGGUUGUUGGAGGGUAAAAUUGUCAUUUUACAUAAUAUAUAGUAUUAACGGGUUUCAGUAAUGUAAGAUACACGACCCCCUCCCGUUAAUAUUUUCGAUGUAAUCCUGCUCGAUUUGUAAUGUUACAUUAACGACUAAAUUACAUAGCGGAUUAACCAAACACAAUUAUCCUGGCAGGAUUGCCUGUAAUCCUGCCAGGAUAACUCGAACCAAACACACCCUAAGGGCCUGUUUGUUUCGAGGGGAGUGCGGUGGAAGUGGGACGGGGGAAGUGAUUUUCGGUGAAAACUGACCACUUCCGCUGUUUGGUUCACCAUAAGGGUGCGUUUGGUUCGAGUUAUCCUGGCAGGAUUACAGACAAUCCUGCCAGGAUAACUGUGUUUGGUUAAUCCGUUAUGUAAUCUAGUCGUUAAUGUAGCAUUACAAAUCGAGUAGGAUUACAUCGAAAAUAUUAACGGGAGGGGGGUCGUGUAUCUUGCAUUACUGAAAUCCGUUAAUACUACAUUUUAUGUGAAAUGACAAUUUUGCCCUCCAACAACCCCAAAUCUAAUUAACAGCAUUAUUUUCAUCUCUCUCUCGCCUUCCCCCCGGCUCUCUCUCUCACGCCGCUUUCUCUCGCUCUCUCUCUCUCGACAUCUCUCUCUCUCUCUCCCACGAACACCUAUCAUCUUCUAUUGCGUCGUCCUCCCAAGUAAUCAUCACGAUCUCCUUCCCUCCAUUCGUCAUUUCCACAAAAAAUAAUAUUCAAAUGACCACAACAAGGGUAAUUUUGAAAAAAAACUAUACUUUUAUGUCAGGAUUACUAAAUUUUAUAAACUGAACUAAACAUAUUAAUGCUAUAAACACUGUAAUCUAGUAUUAUAUUACUGUAUUAAAUCAAACGCUCUAAUGCAGCAUCAGUAGUAAUCUCACGCCGAAAUCCAAGAUACUUGGAUAUGUCGAGAUACUUUGUAAUAUUACAUAACUCGAACCAAACGGGCCCUAAUUUUAUUACGCCCGAAAGUCCAGUUCACCUAAAAUAAUGAACUUGACUUCGCCCUUCCAUGGGGCGAAGUCAAUUCCGGUGAAGUGAAAAAAAGGAAAUAAUGGAUUAAUGUGUUAGAGUUACCUCUUCUAAAAUAUGAUCAAAUUUGAUUAGGUAAGCUUUAAUAUAUUUUUUAUUUAAUUUGUACAUUUAGAAAAUGAUGAAAAAUGAAUUUGUUAAAUGUUAAUAAUUUUUUAACUUUAGAAUUUUAUUUGUUGCAUUAUUAUAAUUUAUAUGCAAACAAAUAAUAUAAUUUUUUAAAAUUUUAUUUUAUAAUUAUACAUAUAUAUAUAAUUAUAUACAUAUAUAAUUAUAUUAAUUUUAUUUAUUAUAAUUUAUUAUUCACUAUAAGUUACAAAAUAGACAAUGAUAUCAUUUUGGAGGUAAGUAUACCGGAGGUGGAGAGCUACACUUUUUACGUCAUCUACUUUCUACCAAAUAAACAACAGAACUCGCAGAACUGCACGUCCACAGUUAGAAACAAACAGCAGAAGUGAACUAAUUUUCACCCUAACUUUACUUCAACUCAAAGUCCACUUCCACCCCAAGUCUACUUACGUUGAAACAAACAUGCCCUAAAAGUAAGUAAAUCUUAUAUCACUCCAUUCAUUAACUACAUUGUCAAAAAAAUAUAAAAAUAAAAAUAUUCGUAACCCUUAUUAAUCAAAAUCUUAAACUCUAAGAAUGGUAACUCGAACUAAAAAUAUUGUACUUUUGAUAUUAUGCUGAAAAAUAUGAGUUCAUAGAAAAUGUAAGCGCUCAAAAAAUAAUGCACGCUCCUAAUACUCACAUGUAUUGUCACUGGUGAAAACUUUUAAACUCAUUAGAAAGCAGAAAUUAAAAUAGUUUUGUAGAUAUAAUUUUCUAUAUACUCCUCAAAACUUUAGAAACAUCUUAUUUUUUAUAUAUAUGUUCUUCCGUUAUUUCAAAAUAUCCGUACAGUUAUCAUCUGAUAAAUUAAUUUAGAUUAAACGUGAGUUCAAUAUCUACUAAGGACAAAUAAAAAAAAUUAGUAAUAAUAGAAGAGUAUAUUUGAAAGAAUAAAAUAGUAAUUUCAUAGAGAUAUAUAAUAGCUAUUGCUAACAGUUUAUUAAUAGAAUUUAAUUCUANAUAUAU
This 2604-nucleotide long non-coding RNA is filed under the name Ananas comosus (pineapple). Its description in RNAcentral is "long non-coding RNA (ACOM_LNC013894)". Lineage: Eukaryota; Viridiplantae; Streptophyta; Magnoliopsida; Poales; Bromeliaceae. The record is from RNAcentral.